CUGACCUCAGAUCAGGCGGGACUACCCGCUGAACUUAAGCAUAUCAAUAAGCGGAGGAAAAGAAACUAACAAGGAUUCCCCUACUAACUGCGAGUGAAGCGGGAWAAGCUCA
This 112-nucleotide ribosomal RNA is filed under the name Polyporus melanopus. Its description in RNAcentral is "partial 28S ribosomal RNA". It matches the Rfam family "Eukaryotic large subunit ribosomal RNA", at positions 1 to 111 of the family's 3401-position model. Lineage: Eukaryota; Fungi; Basidiomycota; Agaricomycetes; Polyporales; Polyporaceae. The record is from RNAcentral.